Molecule: ribosomal RNA, 432 nt
Filed under: uncultured bacterium
Lineage: Bacteria
Description: partial 16S ribosomal RNA
Rfam family: Bacterial small subunit ribosomal RNA
Source: RNAcentral
AACGAACGCUGGCGGCAGGCCUAGCACAUGCAAGUCGAGCGGACCCUUCGGGGUUAGCGGCGGACGGGUGAGUAACGCGUGGGAAUAUGCCCUUCUCUACGGAAUAGUCCUGGGAAACUGGGGGUAAUACCGUAUACGCCCUUUGGGGGAAAGAUUUAUCGGGGAAGGAUUAGCCCGCGUUGGAUUAGGUAGUUGGUGGGGUAAUGGCCUACCAAGCCGACGAUCCAUAGCUGGUUUGAGAGGAUGAUCAGCCACACUGGGACUGAGACACGGCCCAGACUCCUACGGGAGGCAGCAGUGGGGAAUCUUAGACAAUGGGGGCAACCCUGAUCUAGCCAUGCCGCGUGAGUGAUGAAGGCCUUAGGGUUGUAAAGCUCUUUCAGCGGGGAAGAUAACGACGGUACCAGCAGAAGAAGCCCCGGCUAACUCCGU